This is a long non-coding RNA of Helianthus annuus (common sunflower), 436 nucleotides long. RefSeq lists it as uncharacterized. Lineage: Eukaryota; Viridiplantae; Streptophyta; Magnoliopsida; Asterales; Asteraceae. The record is from RefSeq and is a predicted model, not a curated record. The transcript has 3 exons.
ACACACCUUUGUGUGUUCUGUGGAUCGACCAGAGCAAAAAGGGGCCAAGGAGAAACCCUAAGUUCAUAAAAUUCUCAAAAUCAGAAGGAGUUUAAGAGCCCAAAGGGAUGCAUGAACCCAAAACUCGAAUAAUCUAAGCUUGUUCAACGAUUGGUGUUAAGGAAGAAAGUUCAAGUCAAGCGAAGCAACAAGGGAAUCAAGAUCGAGUUUUAGGUAAAACUCAAGUUUAGGUGGUUAUGCUUCGCUUGGAUCGAACACACUUUGAACGUCGUUCAUGCACUUCCGCAAAUUUUGUAAAACAUGUAAAAGGGUCAAAACCCUUUUGUUAAAUGGCUUAUGUUUAGUAGUUGAAUUUUAAACUUAAACAUGUUUUGUUAUUUUGUAAAUUCUAGAAUGUAGUAUAACUUUAUUAUAAUUACGGUUAUGUUAUGUUUUA